RNAcentral lists this ribosomal RNA (801 nucleotides) under uncultured Rubrobacter sp. RNAcentral describes it as "bacterial SSU rRNA". It matches the Rfam family "Bacterial small subunit ribosomal RNA", at positions 8 to 796 of the family's 1533-position model. The record is from RNAcentral. Lineage: Bacteria; Bacillati; Actinomycetota; Rubrobacteria; Rubrobacterales; Rubrobacteraceae.
AGAGUUUGAUCAUGGCUCAGGACGAACGCUGACGGUGUGCUUUAGACAUGCAAGUCGAACGAGAAAGCCCUUCGGGGUGAGUACAGUGGCGAACGGGUGAGUAACACGUGGGUAACCUGCCCCUCGCAGGGGGACAACCGGGGGAAACCCCGGCUAAUACCCCGUACGCUCCGAGGUCCGCAUGGGCCACGGAGGAAAGGUAGCUUCGGCCAUCCGGCGAGGGAUGGGCCCGCGGUCCAUUAGCUAGUUGGUGGGGUAACGGCUCACCAAGGCGACGAUGGAUAGCUGGUCUGAGAGGAUGAUCAGCCACACUGGGACUGAGACACGGCCCAGACUCCUACGGGAGGCAGCAGUCGGGAAUCUUGCGCAAUGGGCGAAAGCCUGACGCAGCAACACCGUGUGAGCGACGAAGGCCUUCGGGUCGUAAAGCUCUGUUGUUGGGGACGAAGGGUUAGGGGUUAAUAGCCCCGAGCCUGACGGUACCCUUCGAGGAAGCCCCGGCUAACUACGUGCCAGCAGCCGCGGUAAUACGUAGGGGGCGAGCGUUGUCCGGAAUUAUUGGGCGUAAAGAGCGUGUAGGCGGUUCGGUAAGUCUGCCGUGAAAACCUGAGGCUCAACCUCGGGCGUGCGGUGGAUACUGCCGGGCUAGAGGACGGUAGAGGCGAGUGGAAUUCCCGGUGUAGCGGUGAAAUGCGCAGAUAUCGGGAGGAACACCAGUGGCGAAAGCGACUCUCUGGACGGUAACUGACGCUGAGGCACGAAAGCGUGGGGAGCAAACAGGAUUAGAUACCCCGGUAGUCC